This 732-nucleotide ribosomal RNA is filed under the name Lactococcus lactis. Its description in RNAcentral is "bacterial SSU rRNA". It matches the Rfam family "Bacterial small subunit ribosomal RNA", at positions 141 to 862 of the family's 1533-position model. The record is from RNAcentral. Lineage: Bacteria; Bacillati; Bacillota; Bacilli; Lactobacillales; Streptococcaceae.
GGACAACAUUUGGAAACGAAUGCUAAUACCGCAUAAAAACUUUAAACACAAGUUUUAAGUUUGAAAGAUGCAAUUGCAUCACUCAAAGAUGAUCCCGCGUUGUAUUAGCUAGUUGGUGAGGUAAAGGCUCACCAAGGCGAUGAUACAUAGCCGACCUGAGAGGGUGAUCGGCCACAUUGGGACUGAGACACGGCCCAAACUCCUACGGGAGGCAGCAGUAGGGAAUCUUCGGCAAUGGACGAAAGUCUGACCGAGCAACGCCGCGUGGGUGAAGAAGGUUUUCGGAUCGUAAAACUCUGUUGGUAGAGAAGAACGUUGGUGAGAGUGGAAAGCUCAUCAAGUGACGGUAACUACCCAGAAAGGGACGGCUAACUACGUGCCAGCAGCCGCGGUAAUACGAGGUCCCGAGCGUUGUCCGGAUUUAUUGGGCGUAAAGCGAGCGCAGGUGGUUUAUUAAGUCUGGUGUAAAAGGCAGUGGCUCAACCAUUGUAUGCAUUGGAAACUGGUAGACUUGAGUGCAGGAGAGGAGAGUGGAAUUCCAUGUGUAGCGGUGAAAUGCGUAGAUAUAUGGAGGAACACCGGUGGCGAAAGCGGCUCUCUGGCCUGUAACUGACACUGAGGCUCGAAAGCGUGGGGAGCAAACAGGAUUAGAUACCCUGGUAGUCCACGCCGUAAACGAUGAGUGCUAGAUGUAGGGAGCUAUAAGUUCUCUGUAUCGCAGCUAACGCAAUA